This 788-nucleotide ribosomal RNA is filed under the name Phylloporus sp. PDD 104656. Its description in RNAcentral is "eukaryotic LSU rRNA". The stretch from base 261 to 415 matches the Rfam family "5.8S ribosomal RNA". Lineage: Eukaryota; Fungi; Basidiomycota; Agaricomycetes; Boletales; Boletaceae. The record is from RNAcentral.
UCGUAACAAGGUUUCCGUAGGUGAACCUGCGGAAGGAUCAUUAUCGAAUCUACUCUGAAGAGGCAGAGAGACAGUCGCUGGCUUGACUCCCUGAGUCUUGUAUGUGCACGUCCCCUCGCCUUUUCUAUCUACACACACCUGUGAACCUAUUGUAGAUCCUCUCGAAAGAGAAAGAUCUAUGUUUUCAUUACAUCACACACGUCGUAUGUCUAGAAUGUAAUCAAUCGGUCAUUGAUUUGAUCGACGAUGAUAAUAUGUACAACUUUCAGCAACGGAUCUCUUGGCUCUCGCAUCGAUGAAGAACGCAGCGAAUUGCGAUAAGUAAUGUGAAUUGCAGAUUUCCAGUGAAUCAUCGAAUCUUUGAACGCACCUUGCGCUCCUUGGUAUUCCGAGGAGCAUGCCUGUUUGAGUGUCAUUGAAUUCUCAACCAUUCUCUCUUGAUUAACUUUCGAGGAGAGGUAUGGCUUGGAGUUGGGGGCUGCUGGCAGCACUGUCAGCUCUCCUUAAAUGCAUUAGCGAUUGAGUUGGCUAGUCUUUGACGUGCACGGCCUCGGACGUGAUAAUGAUCGUCGUGGCUGGAGCGUCUUUCCUAGACUAUGCCAAUGGGAUCGCUUCUAAUCAGAAUGGGAGGCACAAAGGGUAGAGUCCCAGACUUGUCAAGCUUAGCUAUUAGGUAGUCUUUUCACUAACGAAAGGCUGGCGAACGCAAGCAAAGCAAGACAACUUGACCUUUUGUCUCCAUUUCUAAGAGACUUGACCUCAAAUCAGGUAGGACUACCCGCUGAACU